AAGCGGACCUCAUAAAGUGCGUCGUAGUCCGGAUUGGAGUCUGCAACUCGACUCCAUGAAGUCGGAAUCGCUAGUAAUCGUGGAUCAGAAUGCCACGGUGAAUACGUUCCCGGGCCUUGUACACACCGCCCGUCACACCAUGGGAGUGGGUUGCAAAAGAAGUAGGUAGCUUAACCUUCGGGGGGGCGCUUACCACUUUGUGAUUCAUGACUGGGGUGAAGUCGUAACAAGGUAACCGUAGGGGAACCUGCGGUUGGAUCACCUCCUUACCUUAAAGAAGC
RNAcentral lists this ribosomal RNA (281 nucleotides) under Salmonella enterica. Its description in RNAcentral is "partial 16S ribosomal RNA". It matches the Rfam family "Bacterial small subunit ribosomal RNA", at positions 1265 to 1533 of the family's 1533-position model. Lineage: Bacteria; Pseudomonadati; Pseudomonadota; Gammaproteobacteria; Enterobacterales; Enterobacteriaceae. The record is from RNAcentral. RNAcentral also lists the same sequence under 3 other names.